Molecule: ribosomal RNA, 253 nt
Filed under: uncultured bacterium
Lineage: Bacteria
Description: partial 16S ribosomal RNA
Rfam family: Bacterial small subunit ribosomal RNA
Source: RNAcentral
UACGUAGGGAGCAAGCGUUGUCCGGAAUCAUUGGGCGUAAAGCGCGCGUAGGUGGCUUCGUAAGUCCGUUGUGAAAGUCAAAGGCUCAACCUUUGAAGGCCGAUGGAUACUGUGAAGCUAGAGUACGGAAGAGGCGAGUGGAAUUCCUGGUGUAGCGGUGGAAUGCGCAGAUAUCAGGAGGAACACCAAUAGCGAAGGCAGCUCGCUGGGACGUUACUGACACUGAGGCGCGAAAGCUAGGGGAGCGAACAGG